This 45-nucleotide non-coding RNA is filed under the name Trichobilharzia regenti. Lineage: Eukaryota; Metazoa; Platyhelminthes; Trematoda; Strigeidida; Schistosomatidae. The record is from RNAcentral.
AUCCAGAUGACGAGUCCCAAAUAGGACGCAGUGCGCAUCCUGGAU